Molecule: ribosomal RNA, 293 nt
Filed under: uncultured bacterium
Lineage: Bacteria
Description: partial 16S ribosomal RNA
Rfam family: Archaeal small subunit ribosomal RNA
Source: RNAcentral
GUGCCAGCAGCCGCGGUAAUACCGGCAGCCCAAGUGAUGGCCGCUGUUAUUGGGCCUAAAGCGUCCGUAGCUGGCCGCACAAGUCCGUCGGGAAAUCCGCCCGCUCAACGGGCGGCCGUCCGGCGGAACCUGUGUGGCUUGGGACCGGGAGGCCUGAGGGGUACGAUCGGGGUAGGAGUGAAAUCCCAUAAUCCCGCACGGACCACCGAUGGCGAAAGCACCUCGAGAGGACGGACCCGACAGUGAGGGACGAAAGCCAGGGUCUCAAACCGGAUUAGAAACCCGUGUAGUCC